This 640-nucleotide ribosomal RNA is filed under the name Fusarium oxysporum f. sp. vanillae. Its description in RNAcentral is "eukaryotic LSU rRNA". Lineage: Eukaryota; Fungi; Ascomycota; Sordariomycetes; Hypocreales; Nectriaceae. The record is from RNAcentral.
GWUACYACUGAGGCGUCCGGACUGGCCCAGAGAGGUGGGCAACUACCACUCAGGGCCGGAAAGCUCUCCAAACUCGGUCAUUUAGAGGAAGUAAAAGUCGUAACAAGGUCUCCGUUGGUGAACCAGCGGAGGGAUCAUUACCGAGUUUACAACUCCCAAACCCCUGUGAACAUACCAAUUGUUGCCUCGGCGGAUCAGCCCGCUCCCGGUAAAACGGGACGGCCCGCCAGAGGACCCCUAAACUCUGUUUCUAUAUGUAACUUCUGAGUAAAACCAUAAAUAAAUCAAAACUUUCAACAACGGAUCUCUUGGUUCUGGCAUCGAUGAAGAACGCAGCAAAAUGCGAUAAGUAAUGUGAAUUGCAGAAUUCAGUGAAUCAUCGAAUCUUUGAACGCACAUUGCGCCCGCCAGUAUUCUGGCGGGCAUGCCUGUUCGAGCGUCAUUUCAACCCUCAAGCCCAGCUUGGUGUUGGGACUCGCGAGUCAAAUCGCGUUCCCCAAAUUGAUUGGCGGUCACGUCGAGCUUCCAUAGCGUARUAGUAAAACCCUCGUUACUGGUAAUCGUCGCGGCCACGCCGUUAAACCCCAACUUCUGAAUGUUGACCUCGGAUCAGGUAGGAAUCCYRAAAAWGAAAAAAAAG